Non-coding RNA from Microcebus murinus (gray mouse lemur), 2536 nucleotides. NCBI's taxonomy places the organism in Eukaryota, Metazoa, Chordata, Mammalia, Primates, Cheirogaleidae. The record is from RefSeq and is a predicted model, not a curated record.
CACAGCGCCCGGCCAGAGGUAGGGUCUUUAAAGAGGUAAGUAAGGUAAAAUGAGGGCACAUGGGUGGGCCCUAAUCCAAUAUGACUAUUAUCCUUAAAAAAAAAAGAAAAGAAAAGUAAGACACAGAUACAUGUAGAGGGAAGACCAAGUGAAGCCACAGGGAGAGGACAGCCACCUACAAUCCAAAGAAAGAGGCCUCAGGAAAAAGUAACACUGCUAGACUUCUAGCCUCUAGAAGUGAGAAAGUAAAUUUUUGUUGUUUAAGCUGCCCAGUGUGUGAUACUUUAUGAAUGGCAGUUUUAGCAAACAAAUAUAGCUCUCAAGGUACUCCCAAAGAAGUGGGAGCUUAUAAUUUGGGGCUUAGGUCAUUCCAUUUAUUUCUAGCUUAUAUUUCCCAGAUGAAAAAGAAUGAAGGGGAACUUGGGCAUUUAUUCCCAGAACUGAUUACUUCCACUCCUUGGUGAGCCACGUCCAAACUGUGAUGUUAAAUACAGAAGUCUGAGAAAAGGACUCAAACUCACUUUUAACCAAAGUUAUGUGCAUAUGUGAAAAAUCAGCUUGACUAGCUGGGAGAAAGAGAAUUUGCCAUUAAAAUAUGGUUUGAAACUCACAGGAUUCAAAAUUUGGAUUGUAAGUAACAGUAUAGAAAGUUGAUUACUGUCUUUAGGUGAGUAACCAGGAAGAUCUGAAUUUGAACCUAAACAUUAACACUUAUUAAUGGUAUGGUUUGGUCAAGUUACUUAUCUCUUUAAGCCUCUGUUUCCUCAUUUAUAAAAAAAGGGAUGCUUCAUGUGGUUGUUAUUAUAUAAUGAUUAAAUGAGUUAAUAAUGGGCUAUUAUAGAAAUGUAUAAUAAAUAUUAGCUGUGAUUUUUUAUAGUAAUAUUAAAACAUCGAAUUGUUUAAACAGUAGCUUGCUGAUAAGAAAGAAAUAUGUGCUUUUUUGCAGGCAAACUGGCACUACCCUUGCAAUGGUUUCACAAUGGGUACCAAAUGCCAUGGAUGCUAUUCUUUUCUAAUUACUGCAGUGGCUGAUGUGGAGACCUCUGGUGGUUCUAUAUUCUCAAGCACAAUAGUGAUGAAUUACCUUGCAAGGAAAUGUCCUCAAUGCUUGCAUACAAGAUUAUUAACUAAGGGUGUAGAGAUACUUCCUUGGGCCAGGCUGGGCUGUGGUUAAUUGUGGUGUUCUUUAUGAAUUCUUUUGAACUGAGGGUGGUUUUCUCUUCUAGGUACCUGUGUAUGUAUUAGGAAGUGGGAUACGGUUAGUGACUUAUUUUUAGAUCCUCUCUGACUCUUAGCUUGGCCUCUUGUCUGUUAUUGCAAUUCCAGAUACCAUAGCUUCCUUGAUUACCACUGCUGCACUAGCUCGCUUUACUUUUUGUGGCAAAACAGUUGAUCAUUGAGGCAGAAGAAAAUAAAGCAUGCAUAGCCAAUGGCUGAAAAAUAGAUUUCUUUCACAAACUUAGAGGAGCUGUAGCUCAGGCCUGGGUGACCACGACAUUGCCCAGGACCUCUCAAAAUAGGAAUGUUCUUUCCCCCUGAAACUGUGGGGAUUAGUGUUGUGGGCCUGGGAGUUCCUGAAAUGAGUGCCUGUUGGACUUCCCCAGGGUACAGCGUGGGACCCUGCACUUUCCUGGCAGUGGGGGGUGGGGCUCAGUUCUCAUGGACACCCUUCCUGACACCUGCUGUGGUUGAGCUCCCAGAAAAGAGAGUAGGACAGAUCCUGGGGGAGAAGAAGAGAAGAAAGCAAGGUUCCCAAGCAACAAAGUGGAGAAGACCAUGGCAGCUCCAUAGUGGAAGGCCUUAGAAGAGGUCCUUUGGUAUAAAUGUUCAUGAAGACUUUCAGGCUAUUUCCUAACUGGGAAGAUAAUAAGACACAUUCUUUCUUGGAGUCCUGACCAGCCGCCUAUUCAAAUUUGAAGGAAAAUCAUCUGAAACGUGCACAUCAUGGCGAAGAGAAACCUGGAAAGCAGGAAAGCCAGAGGGGAGCUGGGGUGAUGGUGGACACCUAGCAAGGAGCCAGAAUGCAAGGAGAGAAAACAGCGUGAAAGGCCAGACCUAUUUUGAGACCAACCCCUGAGUCACAGAGUAACAGAAAGCAGAGAGCAAACCUGUCUGGAGUCAGAACAGUUUAUUUUGCCUUCCGUGCCAUAAAUCUACAUGGGCAGCUCUUUUGGGGAAUUCUGUAUACUCAGUAGGUCAGUUUUAUUCUGGUUUUCAUAUUAAGCUACAACCUCCAACCUAGCCUUUAUCAAUAAUAAAGACACUCCUUUAUUUGUGUUCUCAAUUUGUUUAUAACCUGGGCAGGAAACAGAGAAAGCACAAAUAUAUCGUUUCAGGAAUGAAUAAGGAAACAUUGGUAAGAUACAGUAAGUACUAAAAAAUAAAAAGAACAUACUAUGACUAACGAAAUACCAGUUAACUUAAAAACUUUGAUGAAGUAGACAACUUCAUAGAAAAAUAAAAAUUUACCAGAACUGACACAAGAAGAAACAGAUCAUUAUAAUCAUUGACAAUAUUCAAUCUUAACAUUUUUAAA